GAUGAACGCUGGCGGCGUGCCUAAUACAUGCAAGUCGAGCGAACAAAUAAGGAGCUUGCUCCUUUGACGUUAGCGGCGGACGGGUGAGUAACACGUGGGUAACCUACCUAUAAGACUGGGAUAACUUCGGGAAACCGGAGCUAAUACCGGAUAACAUUUGGAACCGCAUGGUUCUAAAGUGAAGGAUGGUUUUGCUAUCACUUAUAGAUGGACCCGCGCCGUAUUAGCUAGUUGGUAAGGUAACGGCUUACCAAGGCGACGAUACGUAGCCGACCUGAGAGGGUGAUCGGCCACACUGGAACUGAGACACGGUCCAGACUCCUACGGGAGGCAGCAGUAGGGAAUCUUCCGCAAUGGGCGAAAGCCUGACGGAGCAACGCCGCGUGAGUGAUGAAGGGUUUCGGCUCGUAAAACUCUGUUAUUAGGGAAGAACAAAUGUGUAAGUAACUGUGCACGUCUUGACGGUACCUAAUCAGAAAGCCACGGCUAACUACGUG
RNAcentral lists this ribosomal RNA (497 nucleotides) under uncultured bacterium. Its description in RNAcentral is "partial 16S ribosomal RNA". It matches the Rfam family "Bacterial small subunit ribosomal RNA", at positions 28 to 507 of the family's 1533-position model. The record is from RNAcentral.